CGCACAUUGCGCCCGCUGGUUUUUCCAGCGGGCAUGCCUGUUCGAGCGUCAUUUCAAACCUCAAGCCCUGGCUGCUUGGUGUUGGGGCUUCAUUGCUGCGAAACCGCAGGCCCCGAAUGCAAUCGGCGGGCCCGUCCGCGACCCCGAGCGUAGUAACAUUUUCGUCUCGCCCAGGGCUGUCCGGCGGGCAUAUCCGGCCGCUAAAAACAGCAACCUCCGGGUUCUAUUUUUCACAGUUUGACCUCGGAUCAGGUAGGAAUACCCGCUGAACUUAA
RNAcentral lists this unclassified non-coding RNA (275 nucleotides) under Diaporthales sp. RNAcentral describes it as "partial contains 5.8S ribosomal RNA, internal transcribed spacer 2, and large subunit ribosomal RNA". The record is from RNAcentral. Lineage: Eukaryota; Fungi; Ascomycota; Sordariomycetes; Diaporthales.